RNAcentral lists this ribosomal RNA (301 nucleotides) under uncultured bacterium. RNAcentral describes it as "partial 16S ribosomal RNA". It matches the Rfam family "Bacterial small subunit ribosomal RNA", at positions 509 to 807 of the family's 1533-position model. The record is from RNAcentral.
CAGCAGCCGCGGGAAUACCGAGGGUGCGAGCGUUAAUCGGAUUUACUGGGCGUAAAGCGUGCGUAGGCGGCUUCUUAAGUCGGAUGUGAAAUCCCUGAGCUUAACUUAGGAAUUGCAUUUGAUACUGGGAAGCUAGAGUAUGGGAGAGGAUGGUAGAAUUCCAGGUGUAGCGGUGAAAUGCGUAGAGAUCUGGAGGAAUACCGAUGGCGAAGGCAGCCAUCUGGCCUAAUACUGACGCUGAGGUACGAAAGCAUGGGGAGCAAACAGGAUUAGAUACCCCGGUAGUCCCUGUCUCUUAUAC